Molecule: small nucleolar RNA, 93 nt
Filed under: Sphenodon punctatus (tuatara)
Lineage: Eukaryota; Metazoa; Chordata; Lepidosauria; Sphenodontia; Sphenodontidae
Description: Small nucleolar RNA U83B (ENSSPUG00000010530.1)
Rfam family: Small nucleolar RNA U83B
About the family: U83B belongs to the C/D family of snoRNAs.
Source: Rfam by way of RNAcentral
ACUGUUCAAUGAUGAUGUAAUGGAAUAUGCGCCAGGCAUGGCGCCUGACACCCAUGAGGAGUUAUUCCAUGCUGCCUUCCUUCUGAGAACAGC